Molecule: long non-coding RNA, 315 nt
Organism: Triticum aestivum (bread wheat)
Lineage: Eukaryota; Viridiplantae; Streptophyta; Magnoliopsida; Poales; Poaceae
Exons: 2
Source: RefSeq, a predicted model, not a curated record
UUGUGAAUCCUCUGACACCAAUUAUUGGAAGAGAUGGAGACAAUUCUGUAUAGUUUGACCAUGAUCUGAAGAGACCAAGAAUGAUGGCGUGGCAAUCCCAGAACUAAAAGUUUCUCCAUCAGCCCUGUUCUUUGCUUCAAUUGUGAUUCUGGAACUGAAGCUUCAUCACCAUCAUUCUGUCGCUGGUCACAUGACUGAAUGAUUCGAUGGGGCAGGGAAUUUUCAUUUGCAUUGAGCGGACACAGAAUGUGAACGACAUAAUUUUCGCUGGCUCAAAGAUACAGGGGAGAAUGCUAAUAGUCUGGUUAUAUUUUA